AUCGCUUCUCGGCCUUUUGGCUAAGAUCAAGUGUAGAAGUCGAUCUUUAAGACCCUGCCAGCACUGCUGUCAGAUCUGUGUUCAGUUUACAAAUUAAAGGAGAGAUGGAAAAAUAUGAGUCAACAUUCUCAGCUUACAAGUGAGGGGGUUUGCUGUCCUUGUAUUGAUAUUUCAUACUUUUUUUUAACCAUGGAACUUUC
Molecule: small nuclear RNA, 200 nt
Organism: Octodon degus (degu)
Lineage: Eukaryota; Metazoa; Chordata; Mammalia; Rodentia; Octodontidae
Product: U2 spliceosomal RNA
Exons: 1
Source: RefSeq, a predicted model, not a curated record